AAGCUAUUGUGUGCUAUUUAUUUUUGUUUGUACAUGUAUUAUUAAGUAAUACAUAUUUCCAUAUUCAUCAUUUUGUGAAAAAAGAUCCACGUUGUUUACACUAGAGAAAAAUUUGUGGAGGAAAGUGAAAAAUGGUAUACUUCAACCUGCAUUUAGACUUGAUCAGAUCUUCUCUAGCAGUGGAUGGUCUUUGUCAUCAUGAGUCCCUUGGAGUUGCCCUGGAUCCUUGCAUUACUGAUAAUAGGACAUCCAGUUGGAAAUAUUCAAUGGCCAUUUGGUGAUGUGAGACAAGUGAUAGUGGAAUCCUGAUGCAUGAAGGCUCUCAGGAGAGAGUACAUCUACAAAUAAACACAAGAAAGCAAAGAGAAAAAUCCUCUUC
This 379-nucleotide long non-coding RNA is filed under the name Monodelphis domestica (gray short-tailed opossum). Its description in RNAcentral is "lncRNA (ENSMODG00000047924.1)". The record is from RNAcentral. Lineage: Eukaryota; Metazoa; Chordata; Mammalia; Didelphimorphia; Didelphidae.